UGGGGAAUUUUGGACAAUGGGCGAAAGCCUGAUCCAGCAAUGCCGCGUGUGUGAAGAAGGCCUUCGGGUUGUAAAGCACUUUUGUCCGGAAAGAAAUCCUUGGCUCUAAUACAGUCGGGGGAUGACGGUACCGGAAGAAUAAGCACCGGCUAACUACGUGCCAGCAGCCGCGGUAAUACGUAGGGUGCAAGCGUUAAUCGGAAUUACUGGGCGUAAAGCGUGCGCAGGCGGUUUGCUAAGACCGAUGUGAAAUCCCCGGGCUCAACCUGGGAACUGCAUUGGUGACUGGCAGGCUAGAGUAUGGCAGAGGGGGGUAGAAUUCUACGUGUAGCAGUGAAAUGCGUAGAGAUGUGGAGGAAUACCGAUGGCGAAGGCAGCCCCCUGGGGCCAAUACUGACGCUCAUGCACGAAAGCGUGGGGAGCAAACAGGAUUAGAUACCCUGGUAGUCCACGCCCUAAAACGAUGUCAACUAGUUGUUGGGGAUUCAUUUCCUUAGUAACGUAGCUAACGCGUGAAGUUGACCGCCUGGGGAGUACGGUCGCAAGAUUAAAACUCAAAUGAAUUGACGGGGUCAUAGCUGUUUCCU
This 587-nucleotide ribosomal RNA is filed under the name uncultured bacterium. Its description in RNAcentral is "partial 16S ribosomal RNA". It matches the Rfam family "Bacterial small subunit ribosomal RNA", at positions 355 to 1375 of the family's 1533-position model. The record is from RNAcentral.